GUACACGACUGUAGCUGCAAUAUUUUGCAAUGGCACGCACGGCACGGCAAAAUUUGAUGUUCGGCAAAAGUUAAAUUUAGGCACGGCAUGUUUAUUCUAAAUAUUGUGGGACAUUUAACUUAUCUAUCGAAUUCGAAUGCGAGGAAAUACUUUUGAAAACUGCGCAUUUAGUUAUCUAUGCUUUGUCCAGAUUUACACCUCAUUUAUACACGG
Molecule: non-coding RNA, 213 nt
Organism: Paramuricea clavata
Lineage: Eukaryota; Metazoa; Cnidaria; Anthozoa; Malacalcyonacea; Plexauridae
Source: the annotation of a GenBank genome assembly